UGGCUUAGUGGUUAAGCACUCAGCUGCUAACUGAAAGGUUGGUGGUUCGAACCCACC
This 57-nucleotide transfer RNA is filed under the name Loxodonta africana (African savanna elephant). It matches the Rfam family "tRNA", at positions 8 to 63 of the family's 71-position model. From Rfam's summary of the family: Transfer RNA (tRNA) molecules are approximately 80 nucleotides in length. Their secondary structure includes four short double-helical elements and three loops (D, anti-codon, and T loops). Further hydrogen bonds mediate the characteristic L-shaped molecular structure. tRNAs have two regions of fundamental functional importance: the anti-codon, which is responsible for specific mRNA codon recognition, and the 3' end, to which the tRNAs corresponding amino acid is attached (by aminoacyl-tRNA synthetases). tRNAs cope with the degeneracy of the genetic code in two manners: having more than one tRNA (with a specific anti-codon) for a particular amino acid; and 'wobble' base-pairing, i.e. permitting non-standard base-pairing at the 3rd anti-codon position. The record is from Rfam by way of RNAcentral. Lineage: Eukaryota; Metazoa; Chordata; Mammalia; Proboscidea; Elephantidae.